RNAcentral lists this transfer RNA (72 nucleotides) under Aphaenogaster famelica. Its description in RNAcentral is "tRNA-Phe". The record is from RNAcentral. Lineage: Eukaryota; Metazoa; Arthropoda; Insecta; Hymenoptera; Formicidae.
AUUUAAAUAGCUUAUAUAAAGUUAAAAGCAUGAUAUUGAAGAUAUUAAGAAAAUUAUUGUAAUUUUUAAGUA